AUUUUAUCUAUAUUAUUAUAGGUAUAUUAUAAUAUUAUUCAAUAUUGUUAAACGUAUCUAAAUAAUAAUUUAAGAUCGUUUAAAAUCGUAUCUAAUGUGUUACCUACGGGUACUCUAGUAGUAUAAUAUAGUACAUUACUAUAAAACUAUAUUAUCGUUUUCCCGCGAGACAAAAUGGAAAAAUAACAUUUAGAACACCGUCGUUGCGUUGCGUCGCCUAUCGUUUUGUGGGUAGGGGAAAAAUUCAAAAAAUGGUGAUAUUUUUUUUUAUUACAACACGCCCGAUCGGUUAGUCGACCGUUUCGAAAAUUCACUAUGCCGUUCCGGAGUGGGCCUUCGAGCCGACUCCGUUGUCCAUAACGCGUCUCGGACUGAUCUGAAAUGCGGCACUCGCAACCGCGUCGCGGGGAAAUUUCUGCCGGCGCGGAUAAUGAAUAUCCGGGUGCGCGUGGUGACUGCGACGAUAUUACCGGAUCGAAUAAAAAACCGACGGAACCAUUCGGACGAUGCUGGUGUUUCCACUGCGGUUCUACGGCUACAACGGCGCUCUUGAGUUAUCGCCACAAACGCGCGCUGUGAGAAAACACGCGUUCGGCACGACCGUCGGUUUUUUUUCGUUUUUUUUCUUUCGUCCGCGACGUCGGUUUCGAUAUCGGAACGGCCCGUUCUGUCAAACGUGUAACAGAACGGUCCGUCGGCGCGUUGAUGUUUUUUGCCGUUUUAGUUUCGGGAAGAGGGGGAGGUGAUGGGGCGGCGAUCCCCGCGGCUCGGUCGCGAAUCGAACAGCGACAACGGUUUACGCGUCGGGCGCGCGAUUGUCGAAACCAACGGCACGCGAUUGUCGCGAGUCCCGCGGUACCCGGAUUUCCGCUGUCGCGCGCGUCCGCGAGACGGUCCGGAAACCCAACGCCGUUUACGCCGGCACGCGUCUCGGGAAUCGACACUGGACACGGCGGGCCGCGAUCCGAACAAAUCUCCGGUCGACGGGGAAAAACCGCGGCCGUCGGCGCGAGACGCGGUCGAACGUCUCGUUCGGCCGGCGCGUGACCCCCCGGACGGUGCGGCGGGAUCGGAUCGUAUGCGCGCGAAACUGCAAAACAACCGGCCGCGGCGUAUCGUUUCGUGUAUUCGUUUGCGCGCGUGCACCGUCGGCAAUGCGCCGCGUUACGAACGUCUCGCGCUUAGUCCAAUAAGAACGGCCGAUGGCGACUACGACAAUAAUAACAACGAAAAAUUUUCCCGUUUAUCCUGUACGACGAUCUCCUAAAACGGACGGUUAACGUGCGUUGCGUUCAACGCGCGUUCCGGUGUGGCGCGGAGGAAAUCCGGCCACGCAAAACGGUAUCGCUGUCGUAUCGCGCACGGCAUUGUCG
This is a non-coding RNA of Cinara cedri, 1373 nucleotides long. The record is from the annotation of a GenBank genome assembly. NCBI's taxonomy places the organism in Eukaryota, Metazoa, Arthropoda, Insecta, Hemiptera, Aphididae.